Drosophila novamexicana is the source of this 1456-nucleotide long non-coding RNA. RefSeq lists it as uncharacterized. The transcript has 3 exons. The record is from RefSeq and is a predicted model, not a curated record. Lineage: Eukaryota; Metazoa; Arthropoda; Insecta; Diptera; Drosophilidae.
GUGUGUGUGUGUGUGCGUGUGUAUGUAUGUGUGUGUGAGUGGGUGUAUGGGCGUCUCAAUCACUGUGAAGAGGCUUAGUGCGCACCCUGGGGAAAUCGCUUAAGCCGUUCAUAAUGAGUAUUAUGACUGCGCCCGUCUGCCUGGCUGGUUGAACGCGGAGUCUUUGGCAACAAAAAUGGCAUUGAAAUUCGCCAAAAACAACAAUCAUAACCGGAGGCAGGCAUAAAAUGAAUUAUUUUCAUAGCGAGCUGGAAAAGUGCAUUCAGACAAGGACCUCGGCUAACAAUAAACAUUUCCAGCACUCCUAAAAUACACCAGAUAUUUUUAUACUCCUUUUAAUUUUGUCAAGGAGGUAGAAGGUGGACCGAGCCUCUGUUGCAGGAUGGAUCACUAUAUCAUAUAGCUGCCUUAUUAAUAAUCUGUCAAAAAUUAAGUUACGCUUAUAUCAAUCCGAGCAGAACUCAUGCCACAGCAUAAACAAAAUGCUUAUCGAACGGAAUUUUUAUCGCAGUUUAAGUGUCAUGGCAGCAGGAAGCACCGCAGGAUAACAGAAUGGAGAAAGAGAUAGAUAUUGAGUGAGACAGAGUGAGAGAGAGAGAGAGAGCGGGCGAUUCUCUGCAAUUUGUAGGUACAAUACAAACACCCAUAUUUGUCGAAUGGUUUUUCAAUGCUUUUAGCAAGCAAUUGCGCAAUUUGUCAUGCAAUCGAUGCGAAGCCAAAAAAGUGUUGAGUGAAAAUAAGAAAAGAUGGAAACUGUGUGGAAAAGUCAGCCAGACAGAGCCAAGUGCAAUGGGCAAGGAUACAUGAAGGAGCCGGAGCUGGAGCUGGAGCAGCAGUUGCUAUGCGAACUCAACUCAAUUGCGUCGCUGUUAAAUCGUGUGGAAGCUGAUAUGAUUAUGCGUGCCCAUGGCUACCAGCCAUGGCCAACGAGGCCAGCCGCUGGCCGUGGGGCAUGCAACAUGCGGCAAGUGCAGCAAUUAGUGCCAAAGAGAUAUUCGUCUGUGCAUUACAGCUCAUACCCCGGUUCACUUUAAGGCUACUCAACAACAAUCAACAAUCGCAUUAUGUGAUUUGAAAAACCUAAGCGCUCUACUUAGUGCCUGGGAAAUGGAUGCUGGAAAACCUUAAACCAAAGGCACAAACAUUAAGAAGAUUAAUUCGCAAAAGCUGUUGUUGUUGUUUCCCCUCUCUCUCUCGCUCUGUCUGAAAUCUGUCUCAGAUAACGUUAUGCAUCAUUGUGUCAAGGAAUUGACAAAUCUUUGCCCAGGCAGCAAAAGAAAAGAAACAGGAAAACGCCCAUUGUAACGUCGAAGAUUGAAUAUCCUUUUUUAUCACAUGUCAUAGAAGUGGUUUAUACCUUUGCUAAAUUCGUUUUGAUAUGUUCUUGCCGAUAGCUUACCUCAAUUUUGAAGCUCAACUUUGUUAAGUUUGUUCAAGAUAUAUAUAAAAAAGGAAA